CCCAGUGCUUCGCGUGGUCUGACGAGCUUUAAUUUCUCCCAAGGAAGAAGACUGGACGGGCCUAAGAAAACCUAGGGCUGGACUCUUCUUUUCGGCCUGUCUUAAGCCCUGCACCCCAAAGCCUCAACCAUUCAGUUUGCCCCGACUGUCUUGUUGAAUACUGGAAGACUUGUACCCCAGGAACCCCUCCUGUCCCGGGCACAUCAAGACCUUCACCUACGCCAUGGGGUUUCAUGGAGCCAGAAAUGUUUUCUUUAUGGAAGGGAAUUAGCCAAUAUUGUUUUCCUGAAAUUGUAGCAGGAUGGUCUAGUUCCCUGGACGUUUGUUUAUGAGAAAGAUGAAGACUUGCGAAGGAGAUAGAUGCUUAGAUGUAAAUGAGGAAAAAUCUCAGAGAAAAACUGCUCCAGCUGGCUCUCAUACAGCUUCAUUAGGAUGAGCAUCCUACACAAGCAAUUGCAGCUGGCAUUGUGGAGUAGCGCAGCAGACAGAACCCUGCAAGAGGCUGGAAUUCCUCCAACCACAGUCACAUGAAGAACUGUAGAGGCAAAAUCCCUGAUGAUUAGAAUUAAGUGAUGUCUGCAUGUUGUAAGGAAGAAUGGGCUGGUAA
Condylura cristata (star-nosed mole) is the source of this 607-nucleotide long non-coding RNA. RefSeq lists it as uncharacterized. The transcript is spliced from 3 exons. The record is from RefSeq and is a predicted model, not a curated record. Lineage: Eukaryota; Metazoa; Chordata; Mammalia; Eulipotyphla; Talpidae.